GAUGAAUUUCACUCUGUGCUCACACCCUUUUUUCUCAAUUUGAUCAGCUGUCAUAGACUCGUCGUACCAUCUCAAUGAACAUGAUAUUGUUCGUCAAAAGCUACGUGGAGUCUUGUGGCCAACGAUUUUGUAGUGCAUGCCUUUUGUUGCCUAAAAAUCUAGUUAUGCAGAAUAAUUUAUUUUAGAAUAAUCCAGUUUGCAAACAAAUUAGUUAAGUUCAUUGUAUGAUUUCAAAGCUCAGUAGUGAAUUGAUCCAUUUUUGGUGGAUACUGGAAUGUGUUUACACCAAAU
This 291-nucleotide unclassified non-coding RNA is filed under the name Hevea brasiliensis (rubber tree). Lineage: Eukaryota; Viridiplantae; Streptophyta; Magnoliopsida; Malpighiales; Euphorbiaceae. The record is from RNAcentral.